Long non-coding RNA from Homo sapiens (human), 2776 nucleotides. Ensembl annotates it as cholesterol induced regulator of metabolism RNA. Its record names the gene CHROMR. The record is from Ensembl. NCBI's taxonomy places the organism in Eukaryota, Metazoa, Chordata, Mammalia, Primates, Hominidae.
GUUGCUCUUGGGUGGCCGCGGCGCCCGCUCCCUCUGAAUUCGCCGGGCAGGGAUACAGCCGCCCGGGGCCUCUUGCUCGUGCUUGGUUUUCCGGACCUUGCUUCCUAAAGGGUCUUUAGGGGUUCCCGGACUCCUCCGCCUGGGAGCCUCUAUCCGCCUGGGAGCCUCUAUGCGCCCCGCAAAGCCCCCGGCAGAGCCGAGGGGAGGCUUCAUUGGCGACCUGGUGGGGCCUCGCGGCCCUGCUCCCUGACGUCAGCGCCGCCGCGGUGAUUUAACAGCUUUUGUUUUGGGCAGAAGAACCUAUGGGCACAAAAAGCAGGAACGAGUAGCGGUGGCUGAAGAACGAGCAGGAGCUUGAAUUUCAGUUUUCUUAUGAGGAAUUUUCCAGAAAAGAUAUCUUCACUGUGAAAUAACUAAAUAAAUGCCCACUCAGUACAGUCACUGUCUCCCUUUUGGAACUUGAUGGCACCUUAAGCCCAGGUUUGCCUCCACUCUAGAAACUCAUCAGAGUGAUGCCCUUCUCAAAUGGGGGAGGUCCCAAAGCGGAUAUCCUGGCAGUGUGAAAGGCCGGCUAAAGGUUUGUGCCAAGAGGAUCUGUGGAAUGCAUCUCCUACAGCUGGUGCUGCUGAGUAACCACUCUGAUCUGGCAUCUUCUUUGAUCAAGUUACAGAGCAGAGUUUCCAGGGCUGGGGAUUGAAGUCCUGCCUCCUCCCUUUGUCUCUGGUUGUCCUCGGUAAUGUUUUUCCCUCAAGACAAAAAUACCUGCUACAUGCUUCCUUCUGUAUGAAUACAUGAGACCUACCUUCAUUCAUGUUUCCUCUAUGAAGCUUUCCCUGCACUCCAAACACAGAGCUGAGACUUCCACCUAAUGUAGAAAGCUAGCACGAGCCGGCGCUGACAGAUGGAAGACUUGAGAUGUUACAAGAUUAUAUAUGGAAACACAAAAGGAGUGGAGUUGCUGGGUCAUAUGGCAAUUCAUUUGAGGAACUGAGAAGCUUAUUCCAUGGAGGCUGAACUGUUUUAUAUUCCCACCAGCAACGUGUAAGGUUCCAGUUUAUCUACAUCAUCACCAACACUUGCUAUUUUCCAUUUCAUUAAUGAUAGCCAUCCUAGUGGAUUUGAAGUGGUACCUUAUUAUCGUGGUUUUGAUUGCAUUCUCUAUUGACUAAUGAUAUCGAGCAUCUUUUCAUGUAUUUUUUGGUCAUUUGGUCAUUUUUCUUUUUUAAUUUUAAAAUUUUGAGACAGGCUCUCACUAUGUUGCCCAGGUGGUCUCAAACUCCUGGGUUCCAGCGAUGCUCAUGCCUCAGUCUCCCAAAGGGGUGGGAUUACAGGUGUGAGCCACUUUGCCCAGCCCAUUUGUAUAUCUCCUUUGGAGAAUAUCUAGGUUCUUUUGAAGGUAGCUGCAUAUAAACUAGCCAAAUUAACAGACUGUGGUUUUUAGAUGGCUUUCCAUAUCUACAAGAACUAUUUAGUUCUCAAAACUGGGAAGAAAUGUUUCAGAGGCAUCAUUAAUUCAUAAUCUAAAAAUUUAUCUUGGGUUUCCUUUUUUCCCCCAGAUUCUGUAUCCUCCAUAGUCCUAUUCAUGACAUGGGUCGUUCAUCUCUGUAUUCUAAACCCUCAAUGAACUGUAGACAGUAAUAAAUAUUUAUUGGAUGAAUGGUCUCUCAUCAGCCACCUUUUCUUUUUUUUUUUUUGAGACAGAGUCUCACUCUGUCACUCAGGCUGGAGUGCAGUGGCGCGAUCUCGGUUCACUGCAACCUCUGCCUCCCGGGUUCAAGUGAUUCUCCCACCUGAGCCUCCCGAGUAGCUGGGAUUACAGGUGCACGCCACCUUGUCUGGCUAAUUUUUGUAUUUUUAGUAGAGACAGGGUUUCACCGUGUUGGUCAGGCUGGUCUCAAACGCCUGACCUCAGGUGAUCUGCCCGACUUGGCCUCCCAAAGUGCUGGGAUUACAGGUGUGAGCCACCGCACCUGGCCUCCAGCCUCUUUUCUUUUUUUUUUUUGAGACAAGUCUAACUCUGUCACCCAGGCUGGAGAGCAGCGGCAUGAUCAUGGCUCACUGCUGCCUCAACCUCAGAGGCUCAAGUCAUUGUCCCCACCUCAGCCUCCCUAGUAGACUGGACUACAGGCAUGUGCCACCACACCCAGCUAAUUUUUCAUCAGCCACCUUUUCUAACCAUCUGUCUGCACUGACUUCCCAGGUUCUGCAUCAUUAUUGGUUUACUGAGACAAUGCACUUCACCCGUCCUUCAAUCCCAAAGUAGCACAGAAUAUCAGGAGUUCUUUGAGCCCCUAAGUGCCCUACUUUCCCAGGGUCAGGGGACCCUGACAAGCAAGGUCCCCACAUCUUUCUGUGGUUGGAUAGGGAUAUAAAAUUUCUCACACAUGUUAAAUCAAGAUACUUUGGCCAGGCACGGUGGCUCACACCUGUAAUCCCAGCACUUUGGGAGGCUGAGGUGUACAGAUCACUUGAGGUCAGGAGUUUGAGACAAGCCUGGUCAACAUGGUGAAACUCCCAUCUCUACUAAAAAAAAAAAAACUUUGGGAGGCCGAGGUGGGUGGAUCAUGAGGUCAGGAGUUUGAGACCAGCCUGGCCAACAUGGUGAAACCCCGUCUCUACUAAAAAUGCAAAAAUUAGGUGGGUGUGGUGGCACACAGCAGUAGUCCCAGCUACUCAGGAGGCUGAGGCAGGAGAAUUGCUUGAACCUGGGAGGCAGAGGUUACAGUGAGCUGAGAUCAUGCCACCGCACUCCAACCAGGGCAACAGAUCAAGACUC